Long non-coding RNA from Apis mellifera (honey bee), 4818 nucleotides. RefSeq lists it as uncharacterized. The transcript is spliced from 3 exons. The record is from RefSeq and is a predicted model, not a curated record. NCBI's taxonomy places the organism in Eukaryota, Metazoa, Arthropoda, Insecta, Hymenoptera, Apidae.
UAUUUCGACUUUCGGCUUCCCUUCUUCUAUCCUAUUCUCCUCUUGUUUUCCACUCUUUUUUUUUUCUCUCUUUCCUUCUUCUGUUUCUUCGCUUCAAAAACCUUCUCCUACGGCGACAACUCGAAAGGGUCGUUAGACGGUACAAGAAUGAGAAGGUAAAAAUCCUCCUACGUUUCCAUCCAGAGAACAAUACCACUUAGCCCGCCAUUUUCAACACGAUCGUCUCGUCUUUACCCUCUCUUUCUCUCUUCUCCUUUAUAUUUCUACAAUUGUCGCUACUACAACUGUUUCCUCGUCGAUCCGCCAUGCAUACACCAGCGACACCACGACACCAAUUUUGGAAUUAGAUGCCCACCAUUGUUUCGAAUUUAGACGAAUGAUUGUUGAAGAGAGAUUGAUCGGUGUGAUUAUUGGUUCAGUUGUUCCACGAAAGUUUAUAAAAGUUUUUAAUAAAAGGUGAAUAUGAUAAAUAGUUCGAUUGUUUAAACAAACGUGAUAUAUUUUUUUUAAACGAUUCGAUUGCAACAUUGUGUGAAAGAAGAUAAACAUAUUUGACGAGAAAUUGGAUGACACGUACGACUGGAAUUUUUAGAAUUACACGUAAACCUGUUAUUUGUUCUUAAGUUGUGAAAAAAAUGUGAAAAAAAUUCCGUUUCUAAAAUACGCGUUAUCCGUCGAAAUUGAUUCGGUCGAAUUGAAACGUUGAAAUCGUUGCUUUCCCUCUAGUUAUCAACGUCUACGUGUCUUUCGUGAAAUCCUGAAUAUCGAAUUUCACCGUUUACCGAGUCGAAGAAACGCGAGGAAUUUCCAAAAGGAAUUCUUUUUCCCAAAGUAUUUCCCCCUCGUUUUUUGAAUCCGUCGCUUUGCAACCCGAUCACGAACCGUUGGACAGAUUUGUCACGCUUGUUUUUCGAAUUAAAACGUUUUAAAAGUUGACCCAGGCUACAAUAACAUUCUUCAUUCUUUUUUUCCUUUCGUAACCGAUUGAUCCAACGUUGGACAUAAAUCCAUCGAAAAAGUGAUCAACGAAACGAGUAGCUAUUAAAUUUGACCAUGGUCUAUUUCUAUAUAUAUUUUUCUAUUAAAAUAGAAAUAAAUCAUGAUAAUUUUACAAAUAAAAUUAACAAUUGUCAUUAUCAAUAAUUACACUGUCUGCGCGACAUUCAUUACCGAUAACACGACAUACAUAUUAUAACACAAUAGUAGAACGUUUCUCUUUAAUGCUCUCGAGGAUCGAAGAAACACGAUUCCGAUAUAAUUGCAUUUCCGAUCGUUGAUUUAAUUCACACUCCCGAUUUCGUUAAUUGCAUCCCGCGGUAACCGCGAAUGAAUACGCGGCGUGAAAAUCGAAAACCAACUCCCGGUUUACUCGAGAUUUUUAUUAUUAAUGGAAUUAAUAAUAUUUGCAAAGUGUUAAAGUGUAUUUUCAUGAGGUGUCGAGUGAAAUCACUUUUUUUUUAUACACGCGAACGUGUCUCGUCUGAUUUUGCGAAUUUGAAGCGAAAAAUGUUUCGGAUCGAAUUAAACUUUUGUUCGAAAAUGUGACAUCGUUAAUCGCGAAAUUUCAUCGUGUGCCUACCUCGAGCAUAUCACUCUUCUCUUUCAUCUUCACAAAUUAAAUAUUAACUCGUCGCUCGAAUCUUCCUUCCUUUCUCUCUUUCUCUCUCUCUCUCUCUCUCUCUCUCUCUCUCUCUCUCUCUCUCUCUCUCUCUCUCUCUCUCUCUCUCUCUCUCUGCCCCCUCCUUCUCCCAGGACACACAAAAACUAGCGUUUAUUUGAUCUCUACUAUUUUUUUCCCCCUCCCCUCGACAGCAAAUACCGAUUGCCACGCACGAGAGCUCGUUCGCGGUAAAUAAUGGGAACAUUAAUCGAUAGAACUCGGUUAAUUAGCGCGAGCGACUGCAUUUUCGAAACGGUUAAUUAGAUUUCCACAUCAUCUUUCGCGCUGUUAAUUUACUCUCGAAAUUGCCCUUUAUUUCUGUUGCUCAUUGCCACGAGAAAAGUUUGAGAAAAAAUUUUUUUCCUCGAAUAACGAAUUUUUUUUAUUACCGUCCGUAGGUAACAUCGACAUUUUCGAUCAAUAUUCUCGGAAAAGCUACUUAACUAAAAAUCGAAUUGACAAAGGAUACAUUGGAAAGGAAAAAUGAAAUCGAAUAAUAUUCACGGCCCGUUUCUGAUCUCAUUUGAAUAUCGGAUGCAACAAGACACGUUCAUGAAUAAUCAUUAAGGAAAAAAAAAAAAUCCCAAUAGGAUAAUUGUUGGAAUUCAAUUUCAUACCUUUUCCACCUUAUUUCAUGCAUCGAGAGUUUUUCUUUUAUAAUAUUUCCAUCUUUGGUAAAAAUUUCCUCAAGUGCGAGCGAGAAGUUUCAAUAGAUCGCGAAAGAGACUUUCCGUCUUGUCGAGAACGAUCGGAUCUUCGACUCGAAUGUGACACGCGUGGAUGUGCGGAAAUAAAAAUACGCCGAUUCGAGGAAAGGAUAGAAGAAAUUUCGUGCGAAAAGGAAAAAAGCAAUUUGAGUGGAGAAAAAUUCUGGGUAAUUUAAUUCGCCGGAUAAAGCAGUGUUGUAAGUAUGAGAGAGAAAUGUAGAUAAAAAAACGUAGAGAAGAAUACAUAUAUAUUCUAUAAGUAUAUUCACGGAACCGCUUUCGAUCUCUCAACGGUAUAAAUUGAUCUCCCCAUUUUCAUAUCACGACUUUCGUUAAACGAAUCCUUUCAGGCUUGGCAAGGAUAUGCUUUUAUCAGAGGUUCCUUGAAAGCGGUUGCAAAAGAAUACAGGGAGAGAGAGAUAUCUUGUUUGGCCCGCAAAAAGAUGCAAAAGGAACCAAGCGAAAUCUUUCGACGAUCCGGCGUACUAACUGGCUAGUUUUUUUUUUUUCGAAGUUUGUGAAGCUUGCGUCUUCGAAAUUCAGGUUCGAAAAUUCUCGGAUAAUCGAAUUGUUUCAAAUUUGCAGAUUUUCAUUUCGCUAAGGAAGAUGGAAAGAUGUGUUUGGAAGAAGAUAUAUGGGAUGUGAAUUGGUGAAAGAAAGUGGAAAAUCGUGGAGGAGUUUCGAAGAAUUUAUUAUUACGAGGCGAGUGCAAUGAAACUGCGCGAUGUACGCGUUUCGUCUUUUUGGACGGUCGGUCCAUCGGUACACGUCCGAACGUGUUCCCCCUCCCUCGAAAUUUCACGCGGCGCUACACGCUGUUCCAGAAGUACCAACUGCAACUACUUUAUUCCCUGUCGUGAUGCGUCUCGACUAAUUCCUCGAAAUCCCUCACCUCGUUAAAACCCAUCCUCGUCGUUUUCGAUGAAAUUUCAUCGAUAAUAUCGUUGUCCAUCUUCGAAAAGGAAUGAUCAUCAGGUUCUGAAAGGUGAAAGACGAUAAUCGAUUUUAUAAGACCUUAAGUUAUUUCGAGGAGGGAGGGGACAGUAAGAGGAUUCGCUCGCAUUUGCAUAAUCCAUCCAAGAGGAACCGUAUUCAGGAUGGAAAGUCAAAGAGUCAUAAGCGUCUUUGUCGUGUUUCGAUAAAGAGUCGACGAUGCUUUUGAAAGUUUUAUAGAAGAAGAAGAAGAGGAAGAAGAAGAAGAAGAAGAUACUCGAAGCGCGUUUCGAGAAUUAUUUUCGUUCAGAUAAAAAUUUGGUGGAAAGUUUGGUGGAAACAGGGUGAUACGAGUGAUAAAUGAAUCUUUUCUUCUACGUUUCCACGAUUCAACAUGCGAGUAAUCGAGCACAAUAGAAGUUGGCCGGUUGAAAGCAAACGGAGCAUUAUUCCAAGAUUAAUGCUCGCUUCGGUUGAGCUUUGGGCGUGCAUUAAUUAUACCAUCUAAUCACCUUGGCCAUUACGCAACUAUCCAUGAACAGGAUAGUCGCAUGAUGCACGCCACGAAAUACUGCGUAAUCAUUGUCGUGAUCGAGCACGGGACACGCCCUCGCGAUUAAUAUAUAUAACAGCAGCGUUCUGUUUCAAAAACAGAAGGGAGGAAAUUUGAUGAUACAACGUGGCCCCGUGUUUCCACGCCUUCCACUUUGAAUUAUCACGACCGAGUGCCGCUUCCGGGCUUCCAGAUGCAAAAAUAACAUCCCACGUUUUAUUAUCAAUUUUAAUUAAGAAUUUUGAUACGCGAUAUAUAUUUACUUUCACGGGAAUAAAAUGGAAAUAUUUUAUCCCGGCGAAUAAUAAAAACAAUAUUAACGGUUAUUCGGUUUAAUGGAAAUGAAAUUAAUUGAUCUCGUUAUAAAGAUAUUUUCGCAAAUAUCUUCUUUCUUCUUUUUACGGUAAUAAUAAAACGGGCCACGAACGUUCUCUCUGGCUUUGACCACUUAUUGCACUCUCACCAACGGAAUGAGCGAUAUUUUUAAAGCGACUCGAUUAAAUCAAUCGGAAAUUUUUAAUAAAUAUCGCGAAUUAUAUAAAUAGAAUUAAGAAAAACGGGAAAAAAAAUGAAAAUAUAUAAAUUCAUAAAACCAGAGAUUAGAAUUAUUCGUGAUCGAAUCGUGCGGAUUCGUGAAUUAGGUUAGGUUGCCGGAUUCAAAACGAAAAAGGAUGCAAGUACCGAGAAUAAAUAUUUUGGAAUAAAACUUGGUUAAAAAUUCUUGACAAAUAGCGAUAAAAGAAAUAAAAUAUACAUAUAAUAAGAAAAAAAACGAAAAUUUACAAAAAUUCUCGUAAAACGUGAGAUUAGAAACAUUCGAGAUGCGAAUUCGUAGAUUAGGUUAGGUUGCCACGAUUCGUUAUAAAAAUUUCAUGUUUGAAUUCAAGAUGCGAGCACUGAGAAUAAUUUUGGAAACGUAGCUUAAUUAGAAAUUCUUGAUAAAUAUAUGUAGCGAUAGAAAAAAA